This 497-nucleotide ribosomal RNA is filed under the name uncultured bacterium. RNAcentral describes it as "partial 16S ribosomal RNA". It matches the Rfam family "Bacterial small subunit ribosomal RNA", at positions 28 to 507 of the family's 1533-position model. The record is from RNAcentral.
GAUGAACGCUGGCGGCGUGCCUAAUACAUGCAAGUCGAGCGAACAGACGAGGAGCUUGCUCCUCUGACGUUAGCGGCGGACGGGUGAGUAACACGUGGAUAACCUACCUAUAAGACUGGGAUAACUUCGGGAAACCGGAGCUAAUACCGGAUAAUAUAUUGAACCGCAUGGUUCAAUAGUGAAAGACGGUUUUGCUGUCACUUAUAGAUGGAUCCGCGCCGCAUUAGCUAGUUGGUAAGGUAACGGCUUACCAAGGCGACGAUGCGUAGCCGACCUGAGAGGGUGAUCGGCCACACUGGAACUGAGACACGGUCCAGACUCCUACGGGAGGCAGCAGUAGGGAAUCUUACGCAAUGGGCGAAAGCCUGACGGAGCAACGCCGCGUGAGUGAUGAAGGUCUUCGGAUCGUAAAACUAUGUUAUUAGGGAAGAACAAAUGUGUAAGUAACUAUGCACGUCUUGACGGUACCUAAUCAGAAAGCCACGGCUAACUACGUG